Molecule: long non-coding RNA, 698 nt
Filed under: Nicotiana benthamiana
Lineage: Eukaryota; Viridiplantae; Streptophyta; Magnoliopsida; Solanales; Solanaceae
Description: long non-coding RNA (NBEN_LNC020836)
Source: RNAcentral
AAUCAUAAAAUGAUUCAUAAUUCGCAAAUGAUGAUAAUAAGAAGAAGAUUGAAAAACUUUAAUGGUGUCUUAAUCUUCUCACACUUGUUCUUGUCACCAAUUUUAGUUUAAAAAGCAACUCUCCUUUACUUGGGCGAGAUUAUUGAGUGUAUACAGGGUUAGGAUAAGUUUCUCAUGAUUUACACUUUGGCCCUCAAACUUCUUGGCUAUCUCCAGAUCCACCGCGGUCGUGGCACAACUGCAGUAUUUUACAGACAUUAUGUUUCUCUCCUUCUUUCACCGUGUUCCAGCCGCGGUCCCACCGCGGUCGUGGUGAGCUGUUGCUCCAUUUUCUUCGCCUUUUCUUGCUUGUUUUCAUCUGGACUCUUCUCGAUUGGCCUUGUAUCUAUAUAUUUGACCCCCAAAACACUCUGUAAUCUCCUCCUAACUCGGAGUAGUUCCUGCAAAGCAUACAAACCUCAAUUAGAGUAUCUUGUUAUCAUUUAGCACGUAAAACAUCAAUAAAGUAUGGUUAACUUAAGGCAUAAAUAGCAUCUACAUCAUAUAAUAUAGGCUACUAUCACCUAACUAAGGCGACUUCAUAAUAGUGCUUGAACCCGAGAUUUUUAGUUAAGAAUAAGAGAGUACUUACAACACCACUAUCCCUAUUAGUUACGUAUACCCAUGGGAGGAUCCAUAGUCUAGUGUAUGGGGUACGU